Molecule: long non-coding RNA, 675 nt
Organism: Brassica oleracea var. oleracea
Lineage: Eukaryota; Viridiplantae; Streptophyta; Magnoliopsida; Brassicales; Brassicaceae
Exons: 3
Source: RefSeq, a predicted model, not a curated record
GAAAAAAACUCACAGAGAAAAACUCUGACGCGAAAAUCCCAUAAAGCGAAAAUGGAUCUGCUCAUUGAAGUUGAUUUGCAAGUUCAAAAUGAAAUCACAACUGAAGUGGAGCUGAUCAAAAAGCGAUACACAGUUUGAGAUCUGAUAAUUCACUUUUUGUUUUGUUUAUCUUUUCAAAAUUUUCUUUUCUGGAGAUUUUGAUGUUCUUCAGGGUUUUUUCCGACGAGAAAUGUCCCUGGAUUUCCCAGAGAUGUGCUGCAGGCGAUGCUGUGUUCGUAAGUAGGAUCCUUCGUGAUUCAUUCAUAAUGAGUCAUGUCUACAUUGCUGAUCCCGAGGAUGAGGAGAAUGCUUGGAGUCGACAGCGAAGAUAAAUAUAGGAGAAACAAAGAUAUGAGGAUUCAACAUGAGGUUAAGAUACAUAUGUACAUCAUCAACCAUGUACACACACGACCUUCUAUCUGAAAGAAGAAUAUGAUUCAAGUCCUUGGCCACAUCAGACUUAGUCAACUCAAGUGUUAUCUUCCCUUCUUUUAUUAUUAAUAGGUGCAUGGUCCCCCCGCAAGCGCGGGGUCGGCUACAUUAUAGGUGCAUUGUAUAGUUUUGUUUACGAAAUUUUAUUGUUUGUUUGUUUUUUUGUCUAUAAUGUGAUGGAUGGGACUUUGGAAAUUACAUAGG